This 667-nucleotide long non-coding RNA is filed under the name Macaca mulatta (Rhesus monkey). RNAcentral's name for it is "lncRNA (ENSMMUG00000065294.1)". The record is from RNAcentral. Lineage: Eukaryota; Metazoa; Chordata; Mammalia; Primates; Cercopithecidae.
UCUCGAGAAAGCUUUGUUAAAUUUCUCCUUAUUUUCUUUCUCCAUAUGACAAAGGUCAAUGAUUAAAACUUAAAAAAACAAGUUGUUUGCUUUCAUUAAAACCUAAUGAUAUCCUAAGAACAUUUUAUUCUCUUUGUUUUUCUGAUAUAGUACAUUGCACAGAAGUCAAACAAGAUUAAGAAUACUACAAAACAUUUUAUGUGUCUGAAAAGUUUAUUUCAAAAUAAUUUCUACCUACGAAAGAUUUGAUACUUGGCAAGAAACAAUGGAUACGUGUAUCAAGAUGUAAUGAGAAAGACUUGUGUAUAAACCAGAGUCCCUCAAAUUGGAGCUAGAUAAACUGAAAGAUGAAGCUUUUCUCACCUUCCAGAUGACCAAAAGCAUCAACUCAAAGCAAAAACGCAGCAACAGCAACUCUUGGACUAGAUGUAAAGAGACUCCAAUCUCUGAAUACCAAGUACCUAAAACACGACGAGGUGCACUAAAAAGGGGUGGAAUGUGGGAUUACAUCCCUUCCUGAGUUAACACUUGGGUAAUGUGGUGAAGAGAUACCAAGAUGAUACUAGAGAUAAUUCUAACUAAUAAUAAUAAUUCAUAUCUAAGUCUAUGGCAAUCAAUACUCUAUAUAUAUAUAGUAGUUAAGAGUUUUCAUGGAAGGGAAGAGGAC